Molecule: unclassified non-coding RNA, 406 nt
Filed under: soil metagenome
Description: partial contains 5.8S ribosomal RNA, internal transcribed spacer 2, and large subunit ribosomal RNA
Rfam family: 5.8S ribosomal RNA (bases 1-121)
Source: RNAcentral
GAUGAAGAACGCAGCGAAAUGCGAUAAGUAAUGUGAAUUGCAGAAUUCAGUGAAUCAUCGAAUCUUUGAACGCACCUUGCGCCCUUUGGCCAUUCCGAAGGGCAUGCCUGUUUGAGUAUCAUGAACACCUCAACUCUUCAUGGUUUUCCAUGAUGAGCUUGGACUUUGGGGGUCUUGCUGGCCUGUGGGUCGGCUCCUCUCAAAUGAAUCAGCUUGCCGGUUUUUGGUGGGCAUCACAGGUGUGAUAACUCUCUACGCUUGUGGUUUUCCACCAGGGUAACCUUCAGCAGUGGAGGUUCACUGGAGCUUACAAAUGUCUCUCCUCUGUGAGGACAGCCCUUUGAAUGUUUGAUCUCAAAUCAGGUAGGACUACCCGCUGAACUUAAGCAUAUCAAUAAGCGGAGGA